CAUCUACUGAAAAUAAAAAGCUUUAGGGAACACUUGAUGCCUUGGUCAACCUAGUAACUCAGAUUGCCAUGAAUAAAAAACCUGCAGAAUCCGAAGAAUGUGAGUGCCAUCACCUUGAGGUCUGGCAACCAAAUUCAAUUACUGAUUAGCCUUAAUUUUCUCCUAUUUCUUAACCCUUUUUGUCACCAUUUUAAUUACUGAUUAGCCUUAAUUGUCAAAUUAAUUAUGCAGUUUUAUCAUUUGGGCCUACUUGACUAAUUUUGUGUUUUUAAUUUAAUUUCAGGAGAAUUAUAAGCAAUUGGGCUUGAAUCCAGAAUUGGGCUUGAACUUGAAGAGAACAAACAAUUUUAUUUUAUCGAAUCUUAUCUUAUCCAGAUUUUAUUUCAGCUAGAUUUUAUUUCGUCCAGAUUUUAUUUCAUCCAAUCUUAUAUUAUCUUGUCCAGAUUUUAUUUUAUUUCAUUUAUGGGCUUGGACUUAAAAUAGAUUUGUAAGCUUUCGGGCUGAGGACCUAUAUAACAGCACCA
Molecule: long non-coding RNA, 524 nt
Filed under: Glycine max (soybean)
Lineage: Eukaryota; Viridiplantae; Streptophyta; Magnoliopsida; Fabales; Fabaceae
Description: long non-coding RNA (GMAX_LNC004149)
Source: RNAcentral